AGACCUUCGGGUCUAGUGGCGCACGGGUGCGUAACGCGUGGGAAUCUGCCCUUGGGUUCGGGAUAACAGUUGGAAACGACUGCUAAUACCGGAUGAUAUCUUCGGAUCAAAGAUUUAUCGCCCAGGGAUGAGCCCGCGUAGGAUUAGCUUGUUGGUGAGGUAAAAGCUCACCAAGGCGACGAUCCUUAGCUGGUCUGAGAGGAUGAUCAGCCACACUGGGACUGAGACACGGCCCAGACUCCUACGGGAGGCAGCAGUGGGGAAUAUUGGACAAUGGGCGAAAGCCUGAUCCAGCAAUGCCGCGUGAGUGAUGAAGGCCUUAGGGUUGUAAAGCUCUUUUACCCGGGAUGAUAAUGACAGUACCGGGAGAAUAAGCCCCGGCUAACUCCGUGCCAGCAGCCGCGGUAAUACGGAGGGGGCUAGCGUUGUUCGGAAUUACUGGGCGUAAAGCGCGCGUAGGCGGCUUUGUAAGUUAGAGGUGAAAGCCCGGAGCUCAACUCCGGAACUGCCUUUAAGACUGCAUCGCUAGAACGUCGGAGAGGUGAGUGGAAUUCCGAGUGUAGAGGUGAAAUUCGUAGAUAUUCGGAAGAACACCAGUGGCGAAGGCG
Molecule: ribosomal RNA, 608 nt
Filed under: uncultured bacterium
Lineage: Bacteria
Description: bacterial SSU rRNA
Rfam family: Bacterial small subunit ribosomal RNA
Source: RNAcentral